Non-coding RNA from Potamilus streckersoni, 76 nucleotides. Lineage: Eukaryota; Metazoa; Mollusca; Bivalvia; Unionida; Unionidae. The record is from the annotation of a GenBank genome assembly.
GACCGCUCUGGUGGCUUAGUGGUUAGAGCGUCGCCUUGGAUGCGGGAGAUCGUGGGUUCGAUCCCCAAUCGAGUCA